This 427-nucleotide unclassified non-coding RNA is filed under the name soil metagenome. Its description in RNAcentral is "partial contains 5.8S ribosomal RNA, internal transcribed spacer 2, and large subunit ribosomal RNA". The stretch from base 1 to 120 matches the Rfam family "5.8S ribosomal RNA", at positions 35 to 154 of the family's 154-position model. The record is from RNAcentral.
GAUGAAGAACGUAGCGAAAUGCGAUAAGUAAUGUGAAUUGCAGAUUUCAGUGAAUCAUCGAAUCUUUGAACGCACCUUGCGCCUUGUGGUAUUCCACAAGGCAUGCCCGUUUGAGUAUCAUUAAAUCAUCAACUCUAAAACCUUUGUGGUUUUUUUUAGAGCUUGGUCUUGAGGGUUUUGCAGGCUUUUUUUUUUUUUUCGAGUCUGCUCCCUUUAAAUGCAUUAGCGAUACUUCCCUAUGCUGAACCGUCUCUUUGACGUGAUAAUUAUCUGCGUCGAAUUUUGGUUCUCGUUGGGCUUGCUUCUAAUCGUCUGUUAAAGACAAAACGGAUUUGGGUGCAUAUAUGCGCCUUUUUCCAAAACCUUUUUUUGAUCUCAAAUCGGGUAGGACUACCCGCUGAACUUAAGCAUAUCAAUAAGCGGAGGA